CUUUCCCAAAUUCCCCACAUUUCCCAAUUGUGCUUCCACGUUCUAUUCUUUUUGUUCCUUCCUUUCUUGUACUUUCUUUAUUUUCCCUUCUUUCAUUUACGCCUCCUGUGCUAUUUUGUUCUUGAUUUCUUUGUUAUUUUGUUUUAAUCUCUUCCUUGUGAAUUGGUAUGGGGUUCAACCUUAUUCUUUUGUGCGAUUAUGAUUCUACGGGAAUUCAUAGGUGUUAAUCAAGAAGUUCAAAAUUUUCCUAUUGUGAGUCAGUGGUACUUGGUUCUGCUGUGGAUUUUUGGGUUUUGGAAGUCUUGCGAGUGGAUUCACUUCAGAAACAAUAAAUGAGUGUAACGAAAAACCUGAAAAUUAGCGAACAACAAAACCAUGUGACAGGCUGUGUGCUGGGCUGUGUGUGACACAUAGUUUAGGCCAAUUGGGCCGUGUGGGCCAUACAAGGGCAUGUGUGAGGUCGUGUAGGCCAUACGCGUGCCUAAGGCCGUAAAUAUCAUUUGAAUCGAAUGUAGGCCUUCCAUAGGGUUUGUAUGUGAUCAAUGAAGUUAUAAAACAUGAAAUUUGACCAUCUGUCAGCAUAAAAUAUGACAUAUGAACGCAUAUAUGAGGUGAUAAAUCUAUAGUAUGUAUAAUCUGAAAAGUGUUAUGUAUGUUCUGUAUUGGUCAUGAUAAGCAUGUAUAUCAUAAAAAUAUUUGACAUCUGUUAGUUCUGCAUUUGCAUUUGGGAUGGGACUUGUGUAUAUGAUAGAAGUGUAGGCUAUCUCUAUCGUAAUUGGUGGCACAACCAUAUAUUUUUUUGUAAACAGCGAUAAAUCACUUAAUAAAUUGGUAGCUCAGCUGCAAAUAUUCUGAAAAGUGUCAUACCAGCACUAAACAGUGUGUAGGGUUGGAUGGGUUUAUAAUACCCUAUAUGGAGUGUUGGGAUGGCAGAGAUGGUGUGUAGUGGAUGGGGAUAGGAUUAUAUAUAUUUGCAUCUGUUAUGUUUUGAUAAGCUCUGCUUCUAAUAUAUAUAUAUAUAUCUAUAUGUCUAAUUGAUUUCUAUAUGAUAUGCUACACAAUAAGUUUCAAAAACUCACUUUCUGUUGUUUGUCAAUUAGGUAACCCUCAUACUUAGGAUGGGUCGGUGUGACGGAACUUGGUUAAAAUAAAUAAAUUAAUCAUUA
Long non-coding RNA from Gossypium raimondii (Peruvian cotton), 1166 nucleotides. RefSeq lists it as uncharacterized. The transcript has 3 exons. The record is from RefSeq and is a predicted model, not a curated record. NCBI's taxonomy places the organism in Eukaryota, Viridiplantae, Streptophyta, Magnoliopsida, Malvales, Malvaceae.